UACGAAGGGGGCAAGCGUUGUUCGGAAUUACUGGGCGUAAAGGGCGCGUAGGCGGCUUAUCAAGUCAGGCGUGAAAUUCCCGGGCUCAACCUGGGGGCUGCGCUUGAUACUGAUGAGCUUGAAUGCGGGAGAGGAUAGUGGAAUUCCCAGUGUAGAGGUGAAAUUCGUAGAUAUUGGGAAGAACACCGGUGGCGAAGGCGGCGACCUGGUCCGAUACUGACGCUGAGACGCGAAAGCGUGGGGAGCAAACAGG
This 253-nucleotide ribosomal RNA is filed under the name uncultured bacterium. Its description in RNAcentral is "partial 16S ribosomal RNA". It matches the Rfam family "Bacterial small subunit ribosomal RNA", at positions 524 to 776 of the family's 1533-position model. The record is from RNAcentral.